AUGGUGUCCCCAGGGCUGAGCACUGCCCCAGGCCCUGCCUCAUCCCUCAGCACCAUCCCUGCACUGAUGAGACUCUGGUUUAGCCAAGGCCUUCGUUCCUGGCAUGGAGAGUUUGUUUCCAGCUGCGUUUCCGGGGGUGCUGUGGGAAGGGUUCCGUGGAGCGAGACAAGGUGUCCUCGGGAGCAGGGUUCCACAGGGAAGCGUUUGGGAGCCCUGUGUCACACGGGGCAGGCGGAUUUCACUUCCAGCGUCUCUGUUCUUAAUGCAUCAGGAUGCUUCUGGGACGGGUGUGGGCCUCACACUGCAUCCACAGGGCUCUAUGUGACAAGUGCCCAGGAACAGUCUGAGACACCACCCGGCAGGCCCGCCUUGUCCCCAUUCAGCUCACCCAGAACCUUCACCAGCAAACUUCCCACUGAGGUCCCAGUAGGAGCCGUCAUCUUCUGCUACCGUUCCCUUUUUCAUUUGUGAGGGUCACAGACCCCAACAGGGAGAUCAGUCCCUGUCUUCCCAGGGGUUGCCCUGCUCGCCGGGCACUCCUCAGGGUCCCGCCCUCGUCUGAGGGAUCCUCCAGCGAUGGGGGCCAGGGCCUGGGGCUGAUGGCGGAUGGCAGAGUGCAAGGCUGAAAAGGAUUCCAGGGAGACCUUCGGGUUCAAGUCAGAUGGACCUACCAGAAUCUACAGUCAAAAUGUUGGCUUUUUCUUGUUUUUUAAUCUAUGGGAGAAAAAUGUAAAAUUCCAGUUCUUUUCUAAUUGUGUUUCUGAAAUUUGGAGUCAGCUGCCAGAGUUUUUGUUUGGCUACACUGUGCCUGGGCCCAGCUCAUGGGCAGUGGGUGGGCCUAACUCCCCAGGCAGGUAGGAGCUGCUUCCAGAACCUUCCAGUGCACAGGAGGGCGAGGCUAGGCAUGGCGGUUUCCUCUUUGAAAUUAAGUACAACCUUUCUUGUAGCAAAGCUGCACCCAAUGAUGGUGCCCUCCCCGUGUUGUCUGGGCCCCUAUUUACAAGCAUGCCUUGCCCUUCCUGGGGGGAGCCACACUCUAGCCCCUGGGGGGCCUGUUGCAGGGGCGGGGUGGGCCCAUUGCCCUUGGUGCCUCCUGGAGAGCUGCUGACAUACUGUCCCCUCACUUGGUUCGUGCUGCAAUAAAGGCCAUCUCUCUUU
This is a non-coding RNA of Callithrix jacchus (white-tufted-ear marmoset), 1158 nucleotides long. The record is from RefSeq and is a predicted model, not a curated record. Lineage: Eukaryota; Metazoa; Chordata; Mammalia; Primates; Cebidae.